CCCCUCAUUACUUGGCCUCCCAUAACUAGGCCUCCUCGGUGGCUCCUCCACCUCCGGACUCUCGUAGCUCGGCCUCCCAUACUGUGGCUUCCUGGGGGACCCUUCCCCACCAUAACCAUACCCGCCACCUUGUUCCUCUCCGAAGCUAGGUUUCCGACCGUACCCAGAUCCAUAUUCAGAACUCGGUGCUUCGUACUCAGGCCUCCGACCAUACCCAGAUCCAUACUCCGAACUGGGCUGCUCGAACUCGGGCCUCCGACCAUACCCAGAUCCAUACUCCGAACUAGGUUGCUCGUAUUCAGGCUUCCGACCGUACCCAGAUCCAUAUUCCGUGCUAGGCUGUUCGUAUUCAGGCUUCCGACCGUACCCAGAUCCAUAUUCCGAGCUAGGCUGUUCGUAUUCAGGCUUCCGACCGUACCCAGAUCCAUAUUCCGAGCUAGGCUGUUCGUAUUCAGGCUUCCGACCGUAGCCAGAUCCAUAUUCCGAGCUAGGCUGUUCGCAUUCAGGCUUCCGACCGUACCCGGAUCCGUACUCCGAACUGGGUUCCUCGUAAUCAGGCUUCCGCCCAUGCCCAGAUCCAUACUCACCCUCCCCACCAAAACUCGACGGCGGCUUCGGCUGAUACCCAUACUCACCACCAUCACCACUGCCUCCGAACCCUCCUUGGCCAGGAGGUGGUCCGGCGUAACCAAGGACCGGACGAGGCUUGGGACGAGCAUAGCUCUUGUAUUCAUUCUCAAGAGCUUCAUCACCGUAAGCCGAUGGUUCAGAGCAUGAUGUGUAGCUUGGGCGAUCGUAGUCUAUAUCACCGGACUUCGAGGAGAUCGGAUAGCAAGUCUCCUCCGACGGCUCCAAAGGGCGGCCAUAGAUGACCGUGAUGUCGUAGCCUCCACCAUACGGGGUCGGAUCGUACUCAUCG
Molecule: long non-coding RNA, 919 nt
Filed under: Vitis vinifera (wine grape)
Lineage: Eukaryota; Viridiplantae; Streptophyta; Magnoliopsida; Vitales; Vitaceae
Description: long non-coding RNA (VVIN_LNC004905)
Source: RNAcentral